UACGUAGGGAGCAAGCGUUGUCCGGAUUUACUGGGUGUAAAGGGUGCGUAGGCGGGAUCGCCAGUCAGACGUGAAAUACCGAGGCUUAACCUCGGGGCUGCGUUUGAAACUGCGAUUCUUGAGUGAAGUAGAGGUAGGCGGAAUUCCUAGUGUAGCGGUGAAAUGCGUAGAUAUUAGGAGGAACACCAGUGGCGAAGGCGGCCUACUGGGCUUUAACUGACGCUGAGGCACGAAAGCAUGGGGAGCAAACGGG
RNAcentral lists this ribosomal RNA (253 nucleotides) under uncultured bacterium. RNAcentral describes it as "partial 16S ribosomal RNA". It matches the Rfam family "Bacterial small subunit ribosomal RNA", at positions 524 to 776 of the family's 1533-position model. The record is from RNAcentral.